Molecule: ribosomal RNA, 432 nt
Filed under: Salmonella enterica subsp. enterica serovar Derby
Lineage: Bacteria; Pseudomonadati; Pseudomonadota; Gammaproteobacteria; Enterobacterales; Enterobacteriaceae
Also listed under: 3 other names
Description: bacterial SSU rRNA
Rfam family: Bacterial small subunit ribosomal RNA
Source: RNAcentral
AAGAGUUUGAUCAUGGCUCAGAUUGAACGCUGGCGGCAGGCCUAACACAUGCAAGUCGAACGGUAACAGGAAGCAGCUUGCUGCUUUGCUGACGAGUGGCGGACGGGUGAGUAAUGUCUGGGAAACUGCCUGAUGGAGGGGGAUAACUACUGGAAACGGUGGCUAAUACCGCAUAACGUCGCAAGACCAAAGAGGGGGACCUUCGGGCCUCUUGCCAUCAGAUGUGCCCAGAUGGGAUUAGCUUGUUGGUGAGGUAACGGCUCACCAAGGCGACGAUCCCUAGCUGGUCUGAGAGGAUGACCAGCCACACUGGAACUGAGACACGGUCCAGACUCCUACGGGAGGCAGCAGUGGGGAAUAUUGCACAAUGGGCGCAAGCCUGAUGCAGCCAUGCCGCGUGUAUGAAGAAGGCCUUCGGGUUGUAAAGUACUU